GAUGAACGCUGGCGGCGUGCCUAAUACAUGCAAGUCGAGCGAACAGAUAAGGAGCUUGCUCCUUUGACGUUAGCGGCGGACGGGUGAGUAACACGUGGAUAACCUACCUAUAAGACUGUGAUAACUUCGGGAAACCGGAGCUAAUACCGGAUAACAUAUUGAACCGCAUGGUUCAAUAGUGAAAGGCGGCUUUGCUGUCACUUAUAGAUGGAUCCGCGCCGUAUUAGCUAGUUGGUAAGGUAACGGCUUACCAAGGCAACGAUACGUAGCCGACCUGAGAGGGUGAUCGGCCACACUGGAACUGAGACACGGUCCAGACUCCUACGGGAGGCAGCAGUAGGGAAUCUUCCGCAAUGGGCGAAAGCCUGACGGAGCAACGCCGCGUGAGUGAUGAAGGUCUUCGGAUCGUAAAACUCUGUUAUCAGGGAAGAACAAAUGUGUAAGUAACUGUGCACAUCUUGACGGUACCUGAUCAGAAAGCCACGGCUAACUACGUGCCAGCCGCCGCCGUAA
This 513-nucleotide ribosomal RNA is filed under the name uncultured bacterium. Its description in RNAcentral is "partial 16S ribosomal RNA". It matches the Rfam family "Bacterial small subunit ribosomal RNA", at positions 28 to 523 of the family's 1533-position model. The record is from RNAcentral.